This 460-nucleotide ribosomal RNA is filed under the name uncultured bacterium. RNAcentral's name for it is "partial 16S ribosomal RNA". It matches the Rfam family "Bacterial small subunit ribosomal RNA", at positions 338 to 795 of the family's 1533-position model. The record is from RNAcentral.
CCUACGGGUGGCAGCAGUGAGGAAUAUUGGUCAAUGGACGAGAGUCUGAACCAGCCAAGUAGCGUGAAGGAUGACUGCCCUAUGGGUUGUAAACUUCUUUUAUAAAGGAAUAAAACGAGGCACGUGUGCCUUUUUGCAUGUACUUUAUGAAUAAGGAUCGGCUAACUCCGUGCCAGCAGCCGCGGUAAUACGGAGGAUCCGAGCGUUAUCCGGAUUUAUUGGGUUUAAAGGGAGCGUAGAUGGGUUGUUAAGUCAGUUGUGAAAGUUUGCGGCUCAACCGUAAAAUUGCAAUUGAUACUGGCAGUCGUGAGUACAGUUGAGGGAGGCGGAAUUCGUGGUGUAGCGGUGAAAUGCUUAGAUAUCACGAAGAACCCCGAUUGCGAAGGCAGCUUACUAAACUGUGACUGACAUUGAUGCUCGAAAGUGUGGGUAUCAAACAGGAUUAGAUACCCGAGUAGUC